This 851-nucleotide ribosomal RNA is filed under the name Escherichia coli. Its description in RNAcentral is "partial 23S ribosomal RNA". It matches the Rfam family "Bacterial large subunit ribosomal RNA", at positions 418 to 1268 of the family's 2925-position model. Lineage: Bacteria; Pseudomonadati; Pseudomonadota; Gammaproteobacteria; Enterobacterales; Enterobacteriaceae. The record is from RNAcentral. RNAcentral also lists the same sequence under 1 other name.
CGGGACACGUGGUAUCCUGUCUGAAUAUGGGGGGACCAUCCUCCAAGGCUAAAUACUCCUGACUGACCGAUAGUGAACCAGUACCGUGAGGGAAAGGCGAAAAGAACCCCGGCGAGGGGAGUGAAAAAGAACCUGAAACCGUGUACGUACAAGCAGUGGGAGCACGCUUAGGCGUGUGACUGCGUACCUUUUGUAUAAUGGGUCAGCGACUUAUAUUCUGUAGCAAGGUUAACCGAAUAGGGGAGCCGAAGGGAAACCGAGUCUUAACUGGGCGUUAAGUUGCAGGGUAUAGACCCGAAACCCGGUGAUCUAGCCAUGGGCAGGUUGAAGGUUGGGUAACACUAACUGGAGGACCGAACCGACUAAUGUUGAAAAAUUAGCGGAUGACUUGUGGCUGGGGGUGAAAGACCAAUCAAACCGGGAGAUAGCUGGUUCUCCCCGAAAGCUAUUUAGGUAGCGCCUCGUGAAUUCAUCUCCGGGGGUAGAGCACUGUUUCGGCAAGGGGGUCAUCCCGACUUACCAACCCGAUGCAAACUGCGAAUACCGGAGAAUGUUAUCACGGGAGACACACGGCGGGUGCUAACGUCCGUCGUGAAGAGGGAAACAACCCAGACCGCCAGCUAAGGUCCCAAAGUCAUGGUUAAGUGGGAAACGAUGUGGGAAGGCCCAGACAGCCAGGAUGUUGGCUUAGAAGCAGCCAUCAUUUAAAGAAAGCGUAAUAGCUCACUGGUCGAGUCGGCCUGCGCGGAAGAUGUAACGGGGCUAAACCAUGCACCGAAGCUGCGGCAGCGACGCUGAUGCGUUGUUGGGUAGGGGAGCGUUCUGUAAGCCUGUGAAGGUGUACUGUGAGG